GAAAUGCUAUAAGCAAUGUUAAUUGCAGAAUUCAGUGAAUCAUCGAAGCUUUCAACGCACAUUGCGCCCGCUGGUAUUCCGGGGGGCAUGCCUGUUCGAGCGUCAUUUCACCACUCAAGCAAUGCUUGGUAUUAGGCACUCGUCCGUCCCUCGCGGCGGGCGGGCAUCAAAACCUUCGGCGAAGUCACAACGGCUUUGGGCGCAGUAGAAUCAUCUUAAACGCUCUGUGAGUCCGGUCGAGUCUUUUGCCGCGAAAGAUUCUCACGAAUCAUCUUUUUCAAAGGUUGACAUCGGAUCAGGUAGGGAUAACCGCUGAACUUAA
This 322-nucleotide unclassified non-coding RNA is filed under the name uncultured Caloplaca. RNAcentral's name for it is "sequence contains ITS1". The stretch from base 1 to 105 matches the Rfam family "5.8S ribosomal RNA", at positions 50 to 154 of the family's 154-position model. The record is from RNAcentral. Lineage: Eukaryota; Fungi; Ascomycota; Lecanoromycetes; Teloschistales; Teloschistaceae.